UAAAAAUAAAGGUAUUGUGUUCAUCUACAACUAAAAAUUAAAAAAAAAAAAGAAUACAAAACACCAAACAUAAUGUAAGCAAGUACCCAGAAAAAGAUCAGUUUGGGAUCACCAUUUUGUAAAUUAGAAAUUUGGAAUACAUUUUUCUGUGGAAAAAGUGAUUGGAGUUUGUGGUAGGUUGCAAAAGUUUGAUACAAGAUAGAGCAUUAAAUAUUAUGUUUUUUCAUUUAAAAUUAACAGGUGCCCUGUUGACACACAGACCAGAUACCAUAUUUUAUACCAGGUCCACACCUGUUCUUGUGUCUUUCAUUGUCCAAGUAGCUCCUGGGGAUAGAUUUCAAUGGGAGCAAGCUCUUAUCUGUAUGUGCACAGCAAUUUAAAUUGGGAUUCUUUUUUCUGAGUUUGGGAUAGGGAGUGGAAGGAGGAGGAACUCAAAAAGGAGCAGUUUGUCUACAUCCUCCCCUACCACUCUCCAUCUCCUCACCCUCAGGGAUGGCUAGGGACCUAUUUGUUGGUUGACUUGCUCCUAGGUUGGAGCCAGCCCAUUCUUGGGUGGGAAGGGCCCUGAAGAAAAUCAAAG
This 580-nucleotide long non-coding RNA is filed under the name Marmota monax (woodchuck). Lineage: Eukaryota; Metazoa; Chordata; Mammalia; Rodentia; Sciuridae. The record is from RNAcentral.